CGCAGGCUCCAGCUGGCAGGGGUCCUCUCUCGUUUGCGACACGGACGUCGGCCCAUUCCGAGUGCUAUUGCUUCCCGGCCAUAAUUUUGCGUGUCGGCGCGCGCGAAACGUGGAAGUAAAUUGCACCCGGAAUUAUUUAGUGUCAGGUUUCUUCCAGCAAAACAGAAGAACGGACGUUGCCUACGGUCUGCAGCGCGGUGCGCUGCGGCGAAGACGGUGGUGGGUGGCCGCAUUUUCUUUUUUCGUCUUCCGUAUGUUCUCGUCCCUACUGCCGUGUCACGCCGGGCUUUCGACGCUCGACAAGCUAAUCAUCGGGGACUAGUCCCAUCGCCCAUGCCAGCGCGAUGACGCUUGUCAUGGUGAGUACGGGCUUUCUGGUUACUUUCCUCAUUUAUCAAAUGCCCCCCCCCCCCCUUUUUUUUUUUGAAGUUUCAGAUCUGCAACCUGUGCCUCGGCCCCUGGAACAUAUCCCUGCACCCGGCCGUGUCUCGCACAGAUGACAUUCAGCACCUGUCUGUCGUCUAGCAACUGAUUGUGUCUUCACUUCUGUUCCUGCCUCACUGCUAUUUGUGUCCUGCUGAAUGAAGAUUCUUGCAAUCCAUGCUUUGCAGAACGUCCAUUGCACUCCGCAUCCUUUGGUGCCAGACGCACGCGACGGAAUUUCCUGCAGCCGGCCGUGUCUCGCACAGAUGAUGUUCAGCACCUGUCGUCCCACGGCUGAUCGCGUCACUUCUGUUCCUGCCUUUCUGCUAUUUGUGUCCUGCUGAAUGAAGAUGCCUGAAAUCCAUGCCUUGCGAGAACGUCCAUUGCACUCCGCAUCCUUUGGUGCCAGACGCACGCGACGGAAUUUCCUGCAGCCGGGCGUGUUUCGCACAGAUGAUGUUCAGCACCUGUCGUCCCACGGCUGAUCGCGUCACAUCUGUUCCUGCCUCACUGCUAUUGGUGUCCUGCUGAAUGAAGAUGCCUGAAAUCCAUGCCGCGCGAGAACGUCCAUUGCACUCCGCAUCCUUUGGUGCCAGACGCACGCGACGGAAUUUCCUGCAGCCGGCCGUGUCUCGCACCGAUGAUGUUCAGCACCUGUCGUCCCACGGCUGAUCGCGUCACUUCUGUUCCUGCCUUUCUGCUAUUGGUGUCCUGCUGAAUAAAGAUGCCUGCAAUCCAUGCCCUGCAGAACGUCCAUUACACUCUGCAACCAUUGUCUUGACAUCUGCCGCCCAUCAAGGUCUGUCCCACCAGCGUAGUAGUCAAUGACACCAAGUGCAGACCGUAGGGAGGCAGGCGUUUCUCUCGCCACUCAUCGCAAUGCUGCUACCGAAGACGUCGUGCUGCAGGAAACGUUCUUCGCUGCCUCGACGAGGCCACACAACUAUGAAGUCCCAAGAAACAGCACACAGUCGCGUUACAUGAAUGCUCAUCUAACAUCCCGGUUUGAGUUGUUCGUUCCGACCAUAUAGCAGUAUGACGGCCACUCGAUGAAGUCGCACGCUAUUCAGUGGCUGUGACCGUAUGACGUGAGUACCGAAAAAUCCCAGGUAACAUGCUGUUCUAGCUCAUCGUAGUGGUACACUGCUCAGAAUCUAGCAUUGGGUUGAUCUGGGGAUUCUUGCUUCUUAUGCUCAUUGACAUUCUGUGCUUUUGUAAUGGUACACCGAUGCUGCUUUGCGUUGCCGAAUUGCGUGUGCGUGUGCGCGAGCACAUUUGUGUGUGUGUGUGUGUGUGUGUGUGUGUGUGUGUGUGUGUGUGUGUGUGUGUGUGUGUGUGUGUGUGUGUGUGCGUGUGCGUGUGUGUGUGUGUGUGUGUGUGUGCGUGUGCGUGUGUGUGUGUGCGCGCACAUUUGUGUGUGUGUGUGUGCUGCGCUCAUUUCAUCUGGUAGUUAAUGUCAUUCUGGCUAGGGUGUAUUUCCAAUUCGUCCACGAAUUGUUUGACUGGUUUCUUGCAGUUGGUUACAUCCUUCAGUAAGCUCAUCGAUGUUCAGCAGUGAUGGUUGCGAAUUGUUUCGGAAACUCUUGCAACGCUUUCACUGUACAACUCGUCCACUCGUAUGGACGAGUUGUGGCACCUAGUUUCUUGGCAAAUUCUUUGGUAUUCCAAGGGAUUUCUGUUGGUAUCUUUCCCUGAUUCACAUAUUCUUGGUGUUUCAAGCGACGCAUCAUGGACAAUGCAAAACAGCAUCAAUGAACCAUAACAAAAAGCACAUGGUGUAAAUUAAAGGCAUUAAAUCUUAUUAUUAUGAGCACAUCAUUUGAAAUCUGGUGCUGGCAUGGCACCAAGCUCUUAUAUUUUUUACCUGUCUGCUGUCAUGAAUGAUGCUGAUACUAGAGCAGUGUACCACUCUCAAGGCAGGUUCUGGAUCACUCUUCAGACAACACUACCACACAUGCCUGUUGUGUUCAACAGACUGUUUUGCCACAGUUCCUUUUGUCCUACAUGAGUGUUCACUGCCCUGUGUAAAUUUAGCUACCUGUGUUUAUUUACUGUACAUUUCUAUGACAUGUAUUUGCUCGCUGAUAUUCCCUGGAACUGAAUAAAAUAGCAAGGAUGUUUUUUCAUAGUA
Dermacentor silvarum is the source of this 2554-nucleotide long non-coding RNA. RefSeq lists it as uncharacterized. NCBI's taxonomy places the organism in Eukaryota, Metazoa, Arthropoda, Arachnida, Ixodida, Ixodidae. The record is from RefSeq and is a predicted model, not a curated record. The transcript is spliced from 5 exons.